AAAGCGUGCGCAGGCGGUUUUGUAAGUUUGUCGUGAAAGCCCCGGGCUCAACCUGGGAAUUGCGAUGAAGACUGCAAGGCUUGAAUCUGGCAGAGGGGGGUAGAAUUCCACGUGUAGCAGUGAAAUGCGUAGAGAUGUGGAGGAACACCGAUGGCGAAGGCAGCCCCCUGGGUCAAGAUUGACGCUCAUGCACGAAAGCGUGGGGAGCAAACAGGAUUAGAUACCCCAGU
RNAcentral lists this ribosomal RNA (230 nucleotides) under uncultured bacterium. RNAcentral describes it as "partial 16S ribosomal RNA". It matches the Rfam family "Bacterial small subunit ribosomal RNA", at positions 562 to 791 of the family's 1533-position model. The record is from RNAcentral.